UACGUAGGGGGCGAGCGUUAUCCGGAUUCAUUGGGCGUAAAGCGCGCGUAGGCGGCCGCCUAAGCGGAACCUCUAACCCCGGGGCUCAACCUCGGGCCGGGUUCCGGACUGGGCGGCUCGAGUGCGGUAGAGGAGAGCGGAAUUCCCGGUGUAGCGGUGGAAUGCGCAGAUAUCGGGAAGAACACCGAUGGCGAAGGCAACUCUCUGGGCCGUCACUGACGCUGAGGCGCGAAAGCUGGGGGAGCGAACAGG
Molecule: ribosomal RNA, 252 nt
Filed under: uncultured bacterium
Lineage: Bacteria
Description: partial 16S ribosomal RNA
Rfam family: Bacterial small subunit ribosomal RNA
Source: RNAcentral